UUUGAAUCAAGGUCUUACCCGAGG
This 24-nucleotide small RNA is filed under the name Arabidopsis thaliana (thale cress). The record is from RNAcentral. Lineage: Eukaryota; Viridiplantae; Streptophyta; Magnoliopsida; Brassicales; Brassicaceae.